AUUAAAAUUUAUGAAGUUUAAAAGUUCCCAAGUUUUAAGGUUUUAUUUCUUUGUUUGUUUAAUUUAUAUUAUUGAAAUGAGAUUUAAGUCAGUCCUAUAUUAACUAUUCAAGACAUACAUGCAUCAACUUGAAAUAUAACCAAUUAAUUUAUGCUAAUUCUUUUUAAAAUAAACUUUGUUUUAGAUUGCUGAGGAUACUAAAUUUAGAAGAGUGCAAUUCUCAAACCGUAUUAAAGAUGAUUUGUCAAGAAAUAAAGUAGUAAGGGAAAGAGUGUUUCCAGUUUGCUUUCCUUCAAAAAGUUCUUAUACUGGUCCUUUUACUAGAGAUGUAAGAUUUCUUUUUUCUUUUUUGUGUAGAUAAAGUUAAACAAUAGAUUUUAAAAGAAAAAAAACAUUAAAGAGUUAUCCAAAUUAAUUUUCAUUUCUUGUUUGCCUGUUUUAAACAUCUUAAAGUUAGUUUAUUAUUUCAAACAUGUUAUUUAACUUGUUUUGUCAUAUAACAUUUAUUAAAUUUUAACAGUUAUAUUAAUAUGUUUCCAUUUAUUUAAACCAACAACAAUAAGGUUGUAGUAAAUCUUAAUCGCUAUUUUUAUUGCUGUUGUUUAGGAACUUUAGAUUUAAUAUUGUUUAAAAUAUGUAUAAACUUUCUUGUGUUCAGUAUAUUUAGUAUAUCAUAUUUAGUAUCUUGAUCCAGAUUACUUAAGGCCUUAAAUUUAAAUGCCUGCUCCUACUGAUGGUUUUGUUAUAUACUCGGUAUGUUCUUGUACUAUUCCUAAUAUAUGUAAUAUUGUUCAUACAAACUUCAAUAUUUUCACCAGGGGUGGGUUUUGUCACUCACCAAGGAGUUGUUUUUAAACUGUGGCAAUUUGUGAUAACCCGAUCUGUCAAAAAGUUAGGUUAUUACUCAAUUAGCUGUCAGUUUUUGAAAAGUGUGGUUGAAAGUCAAAAAUUCAAAAUUGAUUUCAGUUACUUAUUUUUGGAACAAUUUUUUGCAAGUUUUUUGAGUUUAAAACUAUUGAAACCUAAAUAUUCGUUAAUAGUUCAAUUAGUUUAGUUAUUAAUUUAGUAUUUUUGCUACUUUUAAUGCAUAAAUCCCUGACAUACAACUAUUCUUACCUCUCGUUAAUUUUUUUAGUCUCCAGACUUAACCCAAAAAAAAAACAGAAAAGUAAAAACCUUACUUCUUCAUUCUACACAUUCUCAGAGAGAGGUUGCAAGCGUUUCAAAGUCAGUAGUGAGUCGAA
This is a non-coding RNA of Hydra vulgaris (swiftwater hydra), 1244 nucleotides long. Lineage: Eukaryota; Metazoa; Cnidaria; Hydrozoa; Anthoathecata; Hydridae. The record is from RefSeq and is a predicted model, not a curated record.